This 513-nucleotide long non-coding RNA is filed under the name Pogona vitticeps (central bearded dragon). RNAcentral's name for it is "lncRNA (ENSPVIG00000000469.1)". Lineage: Eukaryota; Metazoa; Chordata; Lepidosauria; Squamata; Agamidae. The record is from RNAcentral.
UGAUCAACAGAAAGUCAGGGUCAGAGAUUGGGAUUGCUCUUGUGCUAGAAGGAGUUGUGUUUUUUGUGAUAGCUUAAGUAAACCUGGGAGCUGUCGUUGAUUUUGGUAACUCAUAACAUUGCUUAAAAUUGACACACAUCAAUUAAGCUUUAUCUACCAAUAGAGCUUAUGCUUUUUUUCCUUUUCUUUCAUUCUUUUCUCUUCAACCAGUCUUUCCCUUAACUUUCUGGCUUUCUCUCUCUUCACUGCUCCCUCCUGUGUGCUGGUCUGCCUUACUGACUUUAGAGUAUGAAAAGGUUGCUCUUCCUGUGAUUUUCUAGUGGUUACACAUUCACCGAGAUCCACAUGAGGUCAUUCCAAGAAAAGUCGUGUGACUGGAACCACAAUGGCAGAUGCAAAGAUCUGGCAGGUCCUCCUUUCUCUUUCUUUGCUAAUCAGGUGUAACUAUUCAAAGACACUAAAGAGACUUCCUGGCAAAAAGCUGUGGCCUGCUGCCGGAUGACCUGGAAGAGG